UUGAACGCUGGCGGCAGGCCUAACACAUGCAAGUCGAGCGCGAAAGGUUUUCGGACUGAGUAAAGCGGCGGACGGGUGAGUAACGCGUGGGAAUCUGCCCAGUAGUGGGGGACAACAGUCGGAAACGACUGCUAAUACCGCAUACGCCCUACGGGGGAAAGGGGGGGAUCUUCGGACCUCUCGCUAUUGGAUGAGCCCGCGUCGGAUUAGCUAGUUGGUAGGGUAAAGGCCUACCAAGGCUACGAUCCGUAACUGGUCUGAGAGGAUGAUCAGUGACACUGGAACUGAGACACCGUCCAGACUCCGACGGGAGGCAGCAGUGGGGAAUAUUGGACAAUGGGGGCAACCCUGAUCCAGCCAUGCCGCGUGUGUGAAGAAGGCCUUAGGGUUGUAAAGCACUUUCAGUGGGGAGAAAGGUUUGUCACCUAAUACGUGAUGAAAUUGAUGUUACCCACAGAAGAAGCACCGGCUAACUCCGUGCCAGCAGCCGCCGUAA
RNAcentral lists this ribosomal RNA (496 nucleotides) under uncultured bacterium. RNAcentral's name for it is "partial 16S ribosomal RNA". It matches the Rfam family "Bacterial small subunit ribosomal RNA", at positions 30 to 523 of the family's 1533-position model. The record is from RNAcentral.